RNAcentral lists this ribosomal RNA (863 nucleotides) under uncultured bacterium. RNAcentral's name for it is "bacterial SSU rRNA". It matches the Rfam family "Bacterial small subunit ribosomal RNA", at positions 8 to 916 of the family's 1533-position model. The record is from RNAcentral.
AGAGUUUGAUCAUGGCUCAGAACGAACGCUGGCGGCACGCCUAACACAUGCAAGUCGAGCGCUUCCCUUCGGGGAGGAGCGGCGGACGGGUUAGUAACGCGUGGGAACAUACCCUUUACUAUGGAAUAGCCUUUGGAAACGAAGAGUAAUACUAUAUACGCCCUUCGGGGGAAAGAUUUAUCGGUGAAGGAUUGGCCCGCGUUAGAUUAGAUAGUUGGUGGGGUAACGGCCUACCAAGUCGACGAUCUAUAGCUGGUUUGAGAGAAUGAUCAGCAACACUGGGACUGAGACACGGCCCAGACUCCUACGGGAGGCAGCAGUGGGGAAUCUUAGACAAUGGGCGCAAGCCUGAUCUAGCGAUGCCGCGUGAGUGACGAAGGCCUUAGGGUCGUAAAGCUCUUUCACCAGGGAAGAUAAUGACGGUACCUGGAAAAGAAACCCCGGCUAACUCCGUGCCAGCAGCCGCGGUAAUACGGAGGGGGUUAGCGUUGUUCGGAAUUACUGGGCGUAAAGCGUACGUAGGCGGAUUAGUAAGUUAGAGGUGAAAUCCCAGGGCUCAACCCUGGAACUGCCUUUAAUACUGCUAGUCUUGAGUUCGAGAGAGGUGAGUGGAAUUCCGAGUGUAGAGGUGAAAUUCGUAGAUAUUCGGAGGAACACCAGUGGCGAAGGCGGCUCACUGGCUCGAUACUGACGCUGAGGUACGAAAGUGUGGGGAGCAAACAGGAUUAGAUACCCUGGUAGUCCACACCGUAAACGAUGAAUGCCAGACGUCAGCAAGCAUGCUUGUUGGUGUCACACCUAACGGAUUAAGCAUUCCGCCUGGGGAGUACGGUCGCAAGAUUAAAACUCAAAGGAAUUGACGG